CGCAGCUAAACACAUUUGGUCGGCCUUUCAUCUUCUCCUUCCUUAUUGCACAUUAUUUUGAUCCUCUACUGCCGAAUCUCUUGAUUUCUUCCCACACCCAUAACCCUAAUUUCUGAUUCACCCCUCAUCUUCAAUCAUUUGGUUUCAUCUACAAUCCAUCUUGUGGCUUAUUCUUUUAUAAAUGAAACAAGCCAACAUAGGCCCUACACUCAGAAAGUCGAUGUGUACUGUUUUGGAAUAGUGCUUUGGUAGCUGAUAAUUCCGGAAUAUGAUUGUUGUUUAGGCAGCAUUUGAUGUAGUCAACAAGGGAGUUCGUCCAAUAAUCCCACCUGACUGCCUUCCUGUUCUAAGUUGGUUGCCUAUCAAAAGUGUUGGACGCAGAGUUGGUUAUGACUGUUACUCAGCGCAGCAUUUGCUGAUGAUUAUGCUGAUGAUGUGAGGUGCACAUGUUGAUUAUUAUGCACUGAUAAUGCAAUGAUAACAUGAGGUGCUGGCUGUUGCGAACUGCUACGGGUUAGCUUAGAGGUCUGAUGAAUGGUAUCGUUUUGCUGCAGACCUAGUUUUGUGUAUCCCCACUUGCUACUGCUGUAAGGAGUUGCUGACCUUAAGCUGUUGUUGCGGGUUAACUGAGAGGUCUGAUGAAUGGGAAGUACAUUGUAUUCCUACCAGACUGCUACUGACUAUCUUGUGAGAUUUUGCAUGUUACUAGGAAUAGAUUGUUAUGCAUCUUAUUGAUCGAUUUUAGUGUCUAUUUUGUAAUUGAAUUUGUAUGGAACUACAAUCAAAUUUGUAUAGACUAGAUGAUAGCUGUAUCUUUGGAGGUGUGGCUUCAGUCUCUUGAA
Molecule: long non-coding RNA, 842 nt
Organism: Amaranthus tricolor (Joseph's coat)
Lineage: Eukaryota; Viridiplantae; Streptophyta; Magnoliopsida; Caryophyllales; Amaranthaceae
Exons: 2
Source: RefSeq, a predicted model, not a curated record